CAUAAUAUAAUGUUAAAGAGCCGCGGUAUUCUGACCGUGCAAAGGUAGCAUAAUCAUUAGUUCUUUAAUUGAGAACUUGUAUGAAUGGUCGGACAAGAGAAAUCCUGUCUCUGCUAUUAUAGUAGAAUUUAACUUUUAAGUGAAAAGGCUUAAAUUUUUCAAGGGGACGAUAAGACCCUAUAAAGCUUUAUAUAUUAAUUAGAAUUAAUUAAAUUGAAUAAAUAAAAAUUUAGUCUUAAAAAUAUAUUUAGUUGGGGCGACGAAAGUAUAAUUAAUAAUAACUGCUUAAAUUUAAUACAAUAAUAAAUGAUUUUUUUUAAUUGAUCCUUUUUAAAGAUUAAAGACCAAGUUACUUUAGGGAUAACAGCGUAAUUUU
This 376-nucleotide ribosomal RNA is filed under the name Chaceon sp. F-TTGD-2002. RNAcentral's name for it is "partial 16S ribosomal RNA". Lineage: Eukaryota; Metazoa; Arthropoda; Malacostraca; Decapoda; Geryonidae. The record is from RNAcentral.